This 497-nucleotide ribosomal RNA is filed under the name uncultured bacterium. RNAcentral describes it as "bacterial SSU rRNA". It matches the Rfam family "Bacterial small subunit ribosomal RNA", at positions 8 to 522 of the family's 1533-position model. The record is from RNAcentral.
AGAGUUUGAUCCUGGCUCAGGACGAACGCUGGCGGCGUGCUUAACACAUGCAAGUCAAGGCGGUAGCAAUACCGACUGGCGCACGGGUGCGGAACACGUAGGCAAUCUGCCCUUUGGGGGAAGACAACCUGUCGAAAGAUGGGCUAAACUUCCGUAACAUCUUUGGUAGGCAUCUACCGGAGAUCAAGCUUUCCAAGGGAUGAGCCUGCGUCUGAUUAGCUAGUUGGCGGGGUAACGGCCCACCAAGGCUACGAUCAGUAGCUGGUCUGAGAGGAUGAUCAGCCACAUUGGGACUGAGAUACGGCCCAGACUCCUACGGGAGGCAGCAGUGAGGAAUAUUGCUCAAUGGGGGAAACCCUGAAGCAGCAACGCCGCGUGAGGGAUGAAGGCGCUUUGCGUUGUAAACCUCUGUAGUUGGAGACAAAACUCUCUCUACUGAGAGAUUGAUGGUAUCCAAAAAGUAAGGAUCGGCUAACUACGUGCCAGCAGCCGCGGUA